AGUAGUAACAAAAGAAAAACUCAUGAAUAAUGGCGGUUUCAAUAAAUUAGAGAAGCUCGCUUAUUAAUCGAUAAUACCCGAUUAAUUUAACUUAAUUCAUAUAUAGCUUAUAUACCGCCGUUUACAGAUCUUAUAAUAAAAAUACAACUCCCAAAAAUAAAAAUUAGAAAAUCAGGUCAAGGUGUAGCCCAUAUUUAAGUUUAAGUAAGCUACAAUAAAUAUAAUUUAAGAAUUAAAAUUAAACAAACAAAAUGAAAAAGAAUUUAUAUGUACAUUAAAAUU
This 282-nucleotide ribosomal RNA is filed under the name Belisana sp. Phi80. RNAcentral describes it as "partial 12S ribosomal RNA". The record is from RNAcentral. Lineage: Eukaryota; Metazoa; Arthropoda; Arachnida; Araneae; Pholcidae.